UCUCAACCGUUGUUCGGAUUCAUUGGGCGUAAAGGGUGCGUAGGCGGUCGCGCAAGUCGGAUGUGAAAUCUCAGGGCUCAACCCUGAAACUGCAUUCGAUACUGCGUGGCUAGAGUGCUGGAGAGGAGACUGGAGUUUACGGUGUAGCGGUGAAAUGCGUAGAUAUCGUAAGGAAGACCAGUGGCGAAGGCGAGUCUCUGGACAGCAACUGACGCUGAGGCACGAAGGCCAGGGGAGAAAACGGG
Molecule: ribosomal RNA, 245 nt
Filed under: uncultured bacterium
Lineage: Bacteria
Description: partial 16S ribosomal RNA
Rfam family: Bacterial small subunit ribosomal RNA
Source: RNAcentral